Raphanus sativus (radish) is the source of this 545-nucleotide long non-coding RNA. RefSeq lists it as uncharacterized. The record is from RefSeq and is a predicted model, not a curated record. NCBI's taxonomy places the organism in Eukaryota, Viridiplantae, Streptophyta, Magnoliopsida, Brassicales, Brassicaceae. The transcript has 2 exons.
CAGGGGAAGUCAUAGGAAGAGAGAGCUGCUUUAUUGAACAGCACAAGCAUCACUGCCAAUUAAAAACACCAACACACAACAACAUACAAAAUUGACAUGUAAGAGAGAGCAGCGUAGGCGCCACGUUUGGUCAUGGCGGAUCCUUUGAAAAGCCGAUCGUCGGUGUCAUUCUCUCCGGCGAGAGGAGGAUCGGAGACCGGAAGAACAGGAUUCCUCAUGAGGUAGAAUCUCUCCACAGUUGUCGUCUUCCUCCUUGUUGGCCGUCUCUAUGACUCUCCUUUUGUCCGGCAAAACUCGAGUCACCGCCGUGAUGAGUGAACGUAGAAGACACGGGACAUUUGAGUGGACCACCUCUGUCUCUGUGUGUGUGGCGAUUGUUUUUUGUAAUUAUUAUUAUUAUUAUGAAAAUUAUUAUAAAUUCAACUUGUUUUUUUACUAUUUGUGGUUAAGCCCCAAUGAGAGAGUUUAUGGGCUUUUAGCCUUAUCAGAUGUCAAUUUUCGAAUUUCUUUUCAUAACAUCUAUCAUUUUUCAAAAAUCCUAAAAA